This 491-nucleotide ribosomal RNA is filed under the name uncultured bacterium. RNAcentral describes it as "partial 16S ribosomal RNA". It matches the Rfam family "Bacterial small subunit ribosomal RNA", at positions 29 to 506 of the family's 1533-position model. The record is from RNAcentral.
AGUGAACGCUGGCGGUAGGCCUAACACAUGCAAGUCGAGCGGCAGCACAGUAAGAGCUUGCUCUUACGGGUGGCGAGUGGCGGACGGGUGAGGAAUACAUCGGAAUCUACUUUUUCGUGGGGGAUAACGUAGGGAAACUUACGCUAAUACCGCAUACGACCUACGGGUGAAAGCAGGGGAUCUUCGGACCUUGCGCGAUUGAAUGAGCCGAUGUCGGAUUAGCUAGUUGGCGGGGUAAAGGCCCACCAAGGCGACGAUCCGUAGCUGGUCUGAGAGGAUGAUCCGCCACACUGGAACUGAGACACGGUCCAGACUCCGACGGGAGGCAGCAGUGGGGAAUAUUGGACAAUGGGCGCAAGCCUGAUCCAGCCAUACCGCGUGGGUGAAGAAGGCCUUCGGGUUGUAAAGCCCUUUUGUUGGGAAAGAAAAGCAGCAGGUUAAGACCCCGCUGUUCUGACGGUACCCAAAGAAUAAGCACCGGCUAACUUCGU